ACAACAUUCGGACCGUAGGUCUACCGAGCAAUUUUACUCGCUCAGUGGAAAAUCUUCCCUUUGUCGU
This 67-nucleotide microRNA precursor is filed under the name Bombyx mori (domestic silkworm). Its description in RNAcentral is "mir-2774 microRNA precursor family". It matches the Rfam family "mir-2774 microRNA precursor family". Lineage: Eukaryota; Metazoa; Arthropoda; Insecta; Lepidoptera; Bombycidae. The record is from Rfam by way of RNAcentral.